This 268-nucleotide ribosomal RNA is filed under the name uncultured Ascomycota. RNAcentral's name for it is "partial 18S ribosomal RNA". It matches the Rfam family "Eukaryotic small subunit ribosomal RNA", at positions 548 to 822 of the family's 1831-position model. Lineage: Eukaryota; Fungi; Ascomycota. The record is from RNAcentral.
UUGGAGGGCAAGUCUGGUGCCAGCAGCCGCGGUAAUUCCAGCUCCAAUAGCGUAUAUUAAAGUUGUUGAGGCUAAAAAGCUCGUAGUUGAACCUUGGGCCUAGCCGGCCGGUCCGCCUCACCGCGUGCACUGGCUCGGCUGGGUCUUUCCUUCUGGAGAACCGCAUGCCCUUCACUGGGUGUGCCGGGGAACCAGGACUUUUACNCUGAACAAAUUAGAUCGCUUAAAGAAGGCCUAUGCUCGAAUACAUUAGCAUGGAAUAAUAGAA